UACGGAGGGAGCUAGCGUUGUUCGGAAUUACUGGGCGUAAAGCGCACGUAGGCGGCUUUGUAAGUUAGAGGUGAAAGCCCGGGGCUCAACCCCGGAAUUGCCUUUAAGACUGCAUCGCUUGAAUCCGGGAGAGGUGAGUGGAAUUCCGAGUGUAGAGGUGAAAUUCGUAGAUAUUCGGAAGAACACCAGUGGCGAAGGCGGCUCACUGGACCGGUAUUGACGCUGAGGUGCGACAGCGUGGGGAGCAAACAGG
Molecule: ribosomal RNA, 253 nt
Filed under: uncultured bacterium
Lineage: Bacteria
Description: partial 16S ribosomal RNA
Rfam family: Bacterial small subunit ribosomal RNA
Source: RNAcentral